Long non-coding RNA from Oncorhynchus masou masou (cherry salmon), 786 nucleotides. RefSeq lists it as uncharacterized. The record is from RefSeq and is a predicted model, not a curated record. Lineage: Eukaryota; Metazoa; Chordata; Actinopteri; Salmoniformes; Salmonidae. The transcript is spliced from 3 exons.
ACAUUUGCCAUUACUUUGGCGCUGACUUCUUGAAUUCUGAAUUGAAUUCAUUUAGACAACCAUUUGACUUCGGGUAAAUUGACACCUGACUCAAAUUACUUAAAGAUUCUAACUUGUUGGAUCUGAGAAGUGACUUUCCAAUAUACCGUUUAACUAUUGAACAGCUGUUUUGUCGCAUAUUGACCAGGUGCGUGUGUCUCAGAACCUCGGCCUCGUUGUGUGCCACGGACGCUGCGGUAGUUCAACGGGACUGAGAGUCACUCUAGUCCUUUAGUUGAUCUCUUGUUUAUACCUAUGGUUAUCUGAAUUGACCCUGUAAGCAUAUUGACCAGGUGCGUGUGUCUCAGAACCUCGGCCUCGUUGCGUGUUACAGACUUUUUGAUAUUCUAUUGGGGCAAGGGAUCACCAACGGGUCCUCUCAUCCAGUCCAAACUUGAAUCUCUAAAUUUAGUAAACCACCGACUUCAAGUCAACCUCUCAGCCAGUAGAGGGGAGUUGCUACUAACUAAAUUCUAAAAGAACUCUGACCGAUUGAAACUCUGCUCCUGAUCUUGUGGGUCUCCUCGUCAUCUCUCAAAGGCUCACUUUCCAGGACACCUACAACACCCGAUGUCACAGGAAGGCCAAAAAGAUCAUCAAGGACAUCAACCACCCGAGCCACGGCCUAUCAUCCAGAAGGCAAGAAAACCAUUACAGAAUCACCCACCAACCAAGGACCAAGCGGCGUGGUAAACAGAGGCAGCAGCAGCAGGAGAAGUGAUAGGUGCAGCAGGAGCAACAGCAGCA